AGAGUUUGAUCCUGGCUCAGGACGAACGCUGGCGGCGUGCCUAAUACAUGCAAGUCGAGCGGACAGAAGGGAGCUUGCUCCCGGAUGUUAGCGGCGGACGGGUGAGUAACACGUGGGUAACCUGCCUGUAAGACUGGGAUAACUCCGGGAAACCGGAGCUAAUACCGGAUAGUUCCUUGAACCGCAUGGUUCAAGGAUGAAAGACGGUUUCGGCUGUCACUUACAGAUGGACCCGCGGCGCAUUAGCUAGUUGGUGAGGUAACGGCUCACCAAGGCGACGAUGCGUAGCCGACCUGAGAGGGUGAUCGGCCACACUGGGACUGAGACACGGCCCAGACUCCUACGGGAGGCAGCAGUAGGGAAUCCUUCCGCAAUGGACGAAAGUCUGACGGAGCAACGCCGCGUGAGUGAUGAAGGUUUUCGGAUCGUAAAGCUCUGUUGUUAGGGAAGAACAAGUGCAAGAGUAACUGCUUGCACCUUGACGGUACCUAACCAGAAAGCCACGGCUAACUACGUGCCAGCAGCCGCGGUAAUACGUAGGUGGCAAGCGUUGUCCGGAAUUAUUGGGCGUAAAGGGCUCGCAGGCGGUUUCUUAAGUCUGAUGUGAAAGCCCCCGGCUCAACCGGGGAGGGUCAUUGGAAACUGGGAAACUUGAGUGCAGAAGAGGAGAGUGGAAUUCCACGUGUAGCGGUGAAAUGCGUAGAGAUGUGGAGGAACACCAGUGGCGAAGGCGACUCUCUGGUCUGUAACUGACGCUGAGGAGCGAAAGCGUGGGGAGCGAACAGGAUUAGAUACCCUGGUAGUCCACGCCGUAAACGAUGAGUGCUAAGUGUUAGGGGGUUUCCGCCCCUUAGUGCUGCAGCUAACGCAUUAAGCACUCCGCCUGGGGAGUACGGUCGCAAGACUGAAACUCAAAGGAAUUGACGGGGGCCCGCACAAGCGGUGGAGCAUGUGGUUUAAUUUGAAGCAACGCGAAGAACCUUACCAGGUCUUGACAUCCUCUGACAACCCUAGAGAUAGGGCUUUCCCUUCGGGGACAGAGUGACAGGUGGUGCAUGGUUGUCGUCAGCUCGUGUCGUGAGAUGUUGGGUUAAGUCCCGCAACGAGCGCAACCCUUGAUCUUAGUUGCCAGCAUUCAGUUGGGCACUCUAAGGUGACUGCCGGUGACAAACCGGAGGAAGGUGGGGAUGACGUCAAAUCAUCAUGCCCCUUAUGACCUGGGCUACACACGUGCUACAAUGGACAGAACAAAGGGCUGCGAGACCGCAAGGUUUAGCCAAUCCCACAAAUCUGUUCUCAGUUCGGAUCGCAGUCUGCAACUCGACUGCGUGAAGCUGGAAUCGCUAGUAAUCGCGGAUCAGCAUGCCGCGGUGAAUACGUUCCCGGGCCUUGUACACACCGCCCGUCACACCACGAGAGUUUGCAACACCCGAAGUCGGUGAGGUAACCUUUAUGGAGC
RNAcentral lists this ribosomal RNA (1459 nucleotides) under Bacillus pumilus. RNAcentral's name for it is "bacterial SSU rRNA". It matches the Rfam family "Bacterial small subunit ribosomal RNA". The record is from RNAcentral. Lineage: Bacteria; Bacillati; Bacillota; Bacilli; Caryophanales; Bacillaceae.